This 1159-nucleotide ribosomal RNA is filed under the name Lactococcus lactis. RNAcentral's name for it is "bacterial SSU rRNA". The record is from RNAcentral. Lineage: Bacteria; Bacillati; Bacillota; Bacilli; Lactobacillales; Streptococcaceae.
AGGCGGUCUACUCAUGCAGUUGAGCGCUGAACGUUGGUACUUGCUCCGACUGGAUGAGCAGCGAACGGGUGAGUAACGCGUGGGGAAUCUGCCUUUGAACGGGGGACAACAUUGGGAAACGAAUGCUAAUACCGCAAAAGAACUUUGAACACAAGUGGGGACCUUGAAAGAUGCUAUUGCAUCACUCAAAGAUGAUCCCGCGUUGUAUUAGCUAGGUGGUGAGGCAAGGCUCACCAAGGCGAUGAUACAUAUGCGACCUGACAGGGUGAUCGGCCACAUUGGGACUGACACACGGCCCACACUCCUACGGGAGGCAGAAUAUUGGAAUCUUCGGCAAUGGACGAAAGUCUGACCGAGCAACGCCGCGUGAGGGAAUAAGGUUUUCGGAUCCUAAAACUCUGUUGGUAGAGAAUAACGUUGGUGACAGUGGAAAGCUCAUCAACUGACGGAAACUACCCCGAAAGGGACGGCUAACUACGUGCCAGCAGCCGCGGUAAUACGUACGUCCCUAGCGUUGACCGGAUUUAUUGGGCGUAAAGCGAGCGCAGGUGGUUUAUUAAUUCUGGUGUAAAAGGCAACCUGCUCAACCAUUGUAUGCAUUGGAAACUGGUAGACUUGAGUGCAGGAGAGGAGAGUGGAAUUCCAUGUGUAGCGGUGAAAUGCGUAGAUAUAUGGAGGAACACCGGUGGCGAACCCGGCUCUCUGACUCUGUAACUGACACUGAGGCUCGAAAGAGUGRGGAGCAAACAUGAUUAGAUACCCUGCUACUCCACGCCGGACACGAUGAGUGCUAGAUGCAUGAAGCUAUAAGUUCUCUGUAUCGCAGCUAACGCAAUAAGCACUCCGACUGGGGAGUACGACCGCAAGGUCUGAUACUCUGACGAAUUGACGGGGGGACCGCACAAGCGUGGGAGCAUGUGCUUUAACUACGAAGCAAACGCGUAACAUCCUCACCGACGUCCUUGACAUACUUCGUGCUAUUCCCUAGUAGAUGACGUAACGUGCCMUUCGGACACAGGAUACACGUGGCUGCAUGCUUGCUCGUCAUCUCGAGAUCGUGAGAUGAUGGCCUAAGUCCCGCAACGACCCUCAUCCCUCUAAUGCUAGCUGUCAUGCACUUAGAAUCUGGCACGUCUACUGGCCGACCUGCCCGGACGUG